GCCAUUUUUAGUGGGGUUCGAGUAGGGAACAGGCUUACUCGUAAUGAGCAGGACAGCGGUUCGAGUCCGCUCGUCGGCU
Molecule: transfer RNA, 79 nt
Filed under: Pseudomonadota bacterium
Lineage: Bacteria; Pseudomonadati; Pseudomonadota
Description: tRNA-Thr
Source: RNAcentral